This 107-nucleotide small nuclear RNA is filed under the name Cebus imitator (Panamanian white-faced capuchin). Lineage: Eukaryota; Metazoa; Chordata; Mammalia; Primates; Cebidae. The record is from RNAcentral.
GUGCUUGCUUCGGCAGCACAUAUACUAAAAUGGGAAUGAUACAGAGAAGAUUAGCAUGGCCCCUGCACAAGGAUGACAUGCAAAUUCGUGAAGCAUUCCAUAUUAAA